RNAcentral lists this ribosomal RNA (253 nucleotides) under uncultured bacterium. RNAcentral describes it as "partial 16S ribosomal RNA". It matches the Rfam family "Bacterial small subunit ribosomal RNA", at positions 527 to 779 of the family's 1533-position model. The record is from RNAcentral.
CGGAGGGGCUAGCGUUGUUCGGAAUUACUGGGCGUAAAGCGCGCGUAGGCGGCUUUGUAAGUCAGAGGUGAAAUCCCGGAGCUCAACUCCGGAACUGCCUUUGAAACUGCAUCGCUUGAAUGUCGGAGAGGUGAGUGGAAUUCCGAGUGUAGAGGUGAAAUUCGUAGAUAUUCGGAAGAACACCAGUGGCGAAGGCGGCUCACUGGACGACUAUUGACGCUGAGGUGCGAAAGCGUGGGGAGCAAACAGGAUU